Molecule: ribosomal RNA, 402 nt
Filed under: uncultured bacterium
Lineage: Bacteria
Description: bacterial SSU rRNA
Rfam family: Bacterial small subunit ribosomal RNA
Source: RNAcentral
UAUUGCACAAUGGGCGCAAGCCUGAUGCAGCGACGCCGCGUGAGGGAUGACGGCCUUCGGGUUGUAAACCUCUUUCAGCAGGGAAGAAGCGAAAGUGACGGUACCUGCAGAAGGAGCACCGGCUAACUACGUGCCAGCAGCCGCGGUAAUACGUAGGGUGCGAGCGUUGUCCGGAAUUAUUGGGCGUAAAGGGCUUGUAGGCGGUUUGUCGCGUCUGCUGUGAAAAUCCGGGGCUCAACCCCGGACUUGCAGUGGGUACGGGCAGACUAGAGUGUGGUAGGGGAGACUGGAAUUCCUGGUGUAGCGGUGAAAUGCGCAGAUAUCAGGAGGAACACCGAUGGCGAAGGCAGGUCUCUGGGCCACUACUGACGCUGAGAAGCGAAAGCAUGGGGAGCGAACAGG